This 461-nucleotide unclassified non-coding RNA is filed under the name Hevea brasiliensis (rubber tree). The record is from RNAcentral. Lineage: Eukaryota; Viridiplantae; Streptophyta; Magnoliopsida; Malpighiales; Euphorbiaceae.
GAAAAAUACAUAAAAUAUUUUGCAGUCCAAAUAAAAUAAAACUGAAUUAUUAUAGAUAUUAUUUUUUUGUUAAGAAAAUACAAGGUUGCAUGCCUUUGUCAUGAUUGUGAUUGAUACAUAUAGAUAGCGUGGGCUGCACCUAAUGGACUUGUCAACAACAACAACAAAGAAGCAACAAAAUAGACAAAAAAAGCAUGGAGGUGGAGAAGAAUUAUUUUAGGUCCACUUGAGACACGAAUUGAGGGAAAAAUAAAAAAAUAAAAAAGCAGGCUUCAUCCUUUUGACAAACUAUAGAAAGCAUGUGUAGUUUAAAUUCUCUUUCCUUUUAUCUUUCCUCUAAUGUGUUUACCACUUUCAGGAGUUCAGCUCCUGUGAUGCUGCGAGCCCGGGUAGUCCAGAUGACAUGUUUCUUAAGGAUGUGAAUCCGUGUUUAACACCCCAUUAUGCAAAGACAAAAUCUA